GGUAGAAUAGGAAGGGGGGAGUAGAGUCGGUUCACUAGGGCCCAGCACGAGAGAGAGGGUAGAGAGGAUUAGAGUGAAAAAAGUUGGGCCGGGGGUAUUUGGAUAAUCUUAGGUUUUUCCUUUUAUAGAUAAAUAGUGUAAAUUUGGUUUUCACCAUUUAAAUCACAGGAAAUUAUAGAAGUGUCCAAAAUUAGUGAAACCAAUUUUGUUAGGAUUUUUUUAUUUUCCUUUAUGCAUUAAAAUUCUUACACCUUAGGAAAAAAUAAUAAAAUUUAGGUAUUUAUUUGAUGCCUUUUCAUUAAGAUAUUUAAAUAAAUACUUAACCUUUAUUAAGUGCAUAAAAUAUUGAAUAAUAUUUUCAUAUUCACAAAUUCUUAUUAACCCAUAGGAAUUAAGUUUUUAGAUUAGAAAAUAAUUAUAAUGCCUUCUAAAAAUAAAAGAAAAGGCCUAAGGUAGGAUUAGUAAAGAAAAUAAAAAUGGAUGGUUAAUCUUUAUGGGUAGUUAGUGUUGGCUUGCAACUUUAUCAUGAUAAGUUGUAUAGUCACUUGUUGGCUUGCAACUUUAUCAUGAAGGAAAGUUGUAUAGUCUUGAAUUCAAAAAUUUGCAUCACUAACCUCUGCAUUUACUAAAUCGUAGACAACGGAGCUCCAGAAGGGGAAUUCUUGGAAUUAUCUGAAGGACCUUCAGAGUUUGAGGAGAUUGUUGAAUUGAUCCCCUGUGAAGCCGGUCCAUCGGGCAACGCUAACAUUUUUACAGAUCAAGGCAAGCCCCGGUGCAUCUAUACCUAUCUACUUUGAAGUUAUUAUUUCACGUGUCCAAUUAUUGGUUAUUUUUCAUAUGAAUGCAUUAAGUCUAGGAGUUGGUUGAAACCUAUUCUUGUCCAUGAUCCUACCUUGUUUAGAGGACAUCUUUGCCACUUGUUCACUAAUUAGUAAUGAACUUAUGCUUAGCAAUGCUUAGAUACUUCAAGCAACUUGAUUGCUUAGCUCUAAGGUAAAUUGUUGGGUCAUACAUAUUAGUUAAGGAAGGUUAGCUUGGAAAUUUGAAAAGCCGACAGAAGCUAGAGAUAUUAGUUCUAUCUGCAAGGUUAAAUUGGUUAAGGCCUGGUCGUUGUCUUAACCUUUGAUCAAGUGAAUAUCACCUGGUUGCUUACUGGGUAUGGGAUCAGUAAAGCCCGGUAGGUUAGUUAACUCUCUGAUCGGGAAUAUGUCGUACCCGUGCUUGACGUGCUGGAGAAUGGCAGGGGCGUAGCCUGAAACUCACAUGAAGAUCGGGCUAGACGUGGGGUCCCAUGUGGGGGUGCGUCCCUGGGUUCAGGUAGUCUUAUUCCCAAUCUUUAGGUACGCUAAUCGAAGGGUCGUUAUGUACAACCUGGACAGUUGUACAUAGCUAGUGGUCAGGGUGCUCUUCUGCAGGAUGUAAAUUGAUCCGGAUCGCCGUAAUUGUCGAUUAUGAAUGAACUUGAUCACCAUUAAGCAUCGUAGUGUAAUCUAGUGAAUGUAAUGUUUUUCUUCCGAAAUUAAUAUGUUGUAUGACUUAAUUCCUACUGAUUGCAAAAGUAUUUCUUUUCCAUCAUCUAGACUGGACAGGUAACAACUCAAUCUGAAAUAAAGAUAAAGUUAAGGUUUCACUUAUAGUAAGCUCUUUUAGCAAAAUGUGAGUCAGCUAGUAAACUAAACAACUAUCAUUCAGUUUUGGAAAGACUAUUAUAUUGGUUAGUCGGGUUAGUCUUGCUGAGUACCCCGUACUCAGGGGAAUCCUUCAUUGCUAUUUCAGAGCCACAGCAGGAGUCCGCCGAGGAGGAAGCCCCAAAGAGCUAGGGUAUUUUUACGAGUCUCACAAUACCCUAGAAAUAAAACUCAGAUGUUUAUCUUUCACCUGGACUGGUUUAUGUUUUAAAACUCUUAGAACUGCUCUGACCUGCAUUAUUAAGUUUGUUUCAAACUAUGGUCUGUAAUAAUUCGCAUCUCGGUAUGUGUGUUAAAAUGUAAUAUUUGUUGAUACCUUCCCAUCGUGGAAGCGAUUCUAAUGUAUGGCUAUGGGACACAUCGUGGAUAUUUCGAGGAGUCCUAGGGACACUCGACGGACUACCAGACUUAUACUAUUUUAAGUGCGUUUCGGAUAAUUGUUGUUCCGACAGCGAUUAGGCGCACUUAAACCAGUUUAAGUUGGGCGGUUCUGCCACAGCUGGUAUCAAAGCCAUAGGUUGGGAUAAUCAACAGAUAUUACUGUUUAAAAAUUGAAACUCUAUUUUAAAUAAAGAAAAUGUGUCUUAGGUGGCAAUAGCAUUAAUUGGUUGAUUGUUUUGCAGAUGCUAACUGUUUGUUGCGUGUCGCUAGUAUUCGAUAGCAUAUUAUUAGGGAGAGAUUACGAUGCCACCAAUUUUCCUACGAGUGUGUAUAUGAGUCUGAAAGUACGUAGGAAUCAUUGCAUCAUAUUGCAUAGCAUGUUUUAAAAAAUUUUGGGUUUGGUGAGUGCCGUUAGACCUAACCCUACUUCUUUUAUCAGAUGUUCCAAGAGGGGUAUACUGAUCAAGAUGGGUGGACCUGGAAGCACUAUCUGGACAAACCUGGAUUUACACAAGUGUUGUGGAAGACACUUCAGGAGUUGGGAUUUCAUAAUCCUCCUGAAUAUUACUGGAGGAAGGAGGACACAUGCCAUAAGCAGUAUUGCACUGUGUACGUCCAUAUUCCCGAUGAAGAUACAAAUCCUAACUAGCAUUUGGAGGAAGUCAUGGAGCAGGGCAUUGAAUUCAAGGACACUAUUGAGAGGGCAGCCAUGACUGCCCUCACAGAGUUAUGUGAAAAGCAUAAGGUGGAAAUAGGGUCGAGUUCUGCUCGAUUCUAUCCCAUAAAACAUCAAGAUGAUGGUAUUUGGAGAAGAAGGAUUAAGGCAUUAAAGAAUUCAUCCCGUGUGGAGCACGAUGUCCUGGUUGCAACCGCCUCGGAUUAUAUGACGGCUAUGUAUAAUCUUCAUCAAUCAUGUAUAAGGGAGUAUUAUAAUCAAAGGAAGAAGAAUGAAGACGCCAAGAUGGAGGUAUGUGGUGCCAAACAUGACAAAGAAUUGUGUAAGAAGGCGGCACUAGACCGGGAACAUGAUAUGGAAAGGAUCAUGAGGGAGCAGUCUAAAAGAAUAGAUGAGUACGAAGAGAAGCUAAGAACAAUGCAGGAGUAUAUGGACGCUAGCAGGAACACGUCGGAGAGAGCACGAGAGGCAGCUGAAUCAAAUGUUAAUAGACUUGAGGCAGAAAGGUUUCAGCAGCUAGAUGAGAUAUUAUCCCUCCGUCUGGCAUUAGAGGAGAUGCAGGCUCAGGUACCUGCUCAAAAUAUGGUAAAUGUUCCACCGCCUCCACCCCCAGAAGAGCCACAACCACCAGCCCUGGAUGAGGGAGAUCAGUUUGUGGAUGUUGUAGGUGUCGAGGCUGACGUAGCUCCACUUGCAGCUCCCAAAAUUGACCUUUAUGCCCAUGAGAAUCUGGAAGGAUUUGAUGUUGAAAUGGAGGAUAAUCUAGGAGAAGCUCCAAUGGAAAAUCAUCAAUUUGCUUGGGCUAAUGCAAAUGCUGACGGAUUUGACCCACAAGGUCAUGGUCCUAUAGAACAAUGGGAAGAAGCCGAGCAUGAGGGCGAGGGAGAAGAAGAAGAAGAGGAACCGGAAGAGUUUGAAGGGAAUUAUGGUGUCAGUACAUCCUCAUCAUAUUCUUCAUAUACGUCAAGUGACCCAGGACCAGAAUCGGGAAGUGAGAACUCGGUCAAUCAACCCCCAUCUGUUGCUCCUCCAGGACAGACCCUAAUGACAGUGGAUCAGGACAUACUACAGGCUGCUAUGGCAAGGCUGGGGAUAAAUGUUGCGGAACUGGGCAUUUAUUCAUAUGGUGGCUGAAGGGUGACCAUGAUAAGAGGAUGUUGCUUAAGUUCAUGUAAUAUAAAUAAUGAUGUACUUAAGUAUGGUUUGUAUGUGACUACAAUAGUUGUGUUGAUAGAUGUGAAAAGCAAGCAUAUUUAUGAAGCUGGUGGCAAAUUGUUGCUUAGAUAUUAAUAUUCUGAUCGAUUUUUGGCAGAAUGACGGAUCCAAGAGGUCCUCGUGCUUCGAGGUCAGGGAGCCAUGAGGAGAGUCUACCUAGGGCCCCGACACUGGCUGAUGCUAUAGCCAGUCUCAUGAACUCGGGAGCCGAGCAAGCCCGGCUGCUCCAAAUGAUUGUACAGAAUACCGGGAAUGGUGGGGGUAGACGGGAUUCAGAACGUGGUGUAACCUACACCCAGUUUCUGGAGACCCAUCCUCCGGUUUUUCUGAAGGCCGAGCACCCGUUGGAGGCAAACGAGUGGCUUCAGACUAUGGAACAGAAGUUUCGAGUGAUUCCGCUUUGCACCACCACUCAGAAAGCAGAAUUUGCCGGACUCCAACUCCAGGGUCUCGCCGGAACCUGGUGGACUAGUUACCUAGCAAGACAACCUGUUGGGAAGGAAAUCACCUAGGAACAUUUUAAGGAAGCAUUUCGUACAUAGUUCGUACCGGAGGGAAUUCUACGAAUGAAGCUGGAGCAAUUUCUGAGACUUCAGAAGGGGAGUCGCAGUAUUCUAGAAUAUACAAAUGAAUUUGAUCACUUAGCUCAGUAUGCUCCAGAACAUGUUAACACAAAGUCCAAGAAGAGGGACUGUUACCUCCGGGGACUCAACGCAAGGAUGCAGGAGAAACUGUCUACCUGCACCUUUGCUGACUAUAGUUUUGCGGUAAGUGUGGCCAUUACCGCGGAAGAGAAGAUGAGAAUUCUAGAUGAAACCUUGAAGAAAGAAGAGUCUUUAAAAAGGAAGAAUAUUUCCUUUGGGACAUUUGGGAAUGCCCCGCAAAGAAUGAAGGUUGUAUAUUGAGGUCCUCCUCGACCUGCAUAUCGACCUUCUUUCCAACAGAGACCAUUUCAAUCUUGUAGUGCCAGAAAUCCUACCAAUAAUCCUGACCCUAUAAGUGCGCCACCCUUCGAAUUUCGCAGUCCUACUCCCCUAGGGAACCCGUAGGUUUGUUUUAACUAUGGGAAGCUGGGUCAUUUUGCUCGGGAUUGCCAUUUUCCCAAGGUUGGAGGAAACGUGAAUAUGAAAGCUCAAACCUCUGGCCAAGGCAUUGGUCAAAAAUUGGUUCGGCGAAAGUUUCUGAAUGCCAAGACUGGGCAAGCACAUUACAUGAAUGUGGAAGAGAUUCCAGAGGGCGAGCCUAUUCUGGCAGGUACGUUCCUCAUCAAUGACUACCCUGCCAUGGUUCUAUUUGAUUCAGGUGCAUCACAUACUUUCAUAAGUAGAGAUUUUGUUAAGAGGCACCAACUAGAAGUACACACCUUAAACACCAAAUAUGCUAUCCAAGCCACUGGAGCUACCCAAAAUACGAACCAAGUAGCUCGCAAUGUGAUUCUGAAUUUAGAAGGUAAUAAGGUGGGUGCUUUUCCUUUAAUUUUGGAAGAUCAAGGAAUAGAUAUCAUUUUGGGGGUAAAUUGGAUGAAAGAACAUAAAGUUCAAAUUGAUGUCGAUAACCGGAUCGUUAGUUUGAGGGAUACACGAGGACACCCCUUCAAACUCCAAUUACCCGCUCGUUCCUGUUUGGACUAGAUGGUUAAAAAGACUAGAGAAGUAACUCUAGAAUCUAUUCCCGUGGUCAAUGAGUUUGUAGAUGUGUUUCCUGAAGAUCUUCCUGGUUUACCGCCAGAUAGAGUGGUAGAGUUUACUAUUGAGCUACAACCUGGCACUGCCCCCAUUUCAAGAAGACCAUACAGAAUGCCACCUAGGAGUUAGCAGAAUUGCAAGUUCAACUCCAAGAAUUACUAGAUAAAGGUUUUGUUGGGCCUAGUACUUCACCGUGGGGCUGCCCAGCACUUUUUGUUAAAAAGAAAGACGACACCUUGAGGCUGUUUGUGGAUUACCACCCCUUGAAUGCGGUAACCGUUAAGAACAAGUAUCCAUUACCACGGAUUGACUUGUUAUUUGACCAGUUAGCUGGAGCCAAGGUCUUUUCCAAAAUUGACCUUCGGUCAGGAUAUCAUUAGAUUAAAAUAAAGCCCGAAGACAUACCUAAGACAACAUUCUCAACCAGAUAUGGGUUAUAUGAAUAUUUGCUCAUGUCCUUUGGGUUGACAAAUGCCCCAGCGCAUUUUAUGUACCUCAUGAACUCGGUAUUUAUGCUAGAGUUAGACAAAUUUGUGGUAGUUUUUAUUGAUGAUAUCCUAGUCUUCUCUAAGAAUGAGGAGGAACAUGCGCAGCAUCUGCGUAUUAUUCUAAAUAGGCUUCGGGAACACCAGUUAUAUACCAAGUUUAGUAAAUGUGAAUUUUGGUUGAAGAAAGUUCCAUUCCUUGGGCAUGUUUUGUCCAAAAAAGGAAUUGAAGUGGAUCCCGGAAAGGUCAAGGACAUAUUAGAUUGGAAGCCACCAACAUCUGUCCAUGAAGUGAGAAGUUUCCUAGGGAUGCCCGGAUAUUACCGUAGGUUCAUUCCUAACUUCUCAAAAAUUUCCAAGCCAAUCAAGGAAUUAUUAAAGAAGGAAGUGAGAUUUGAAUGGAGCUCCGAAUGCGAAGAAUGAUUCCAAAUGUUGAAGAAACUAUUAACUACAACACCAGUAUUGGCUCAACCUGACUUGGAGAAAUCUUUUGAUGUUUACUGUGAUGCUUCAGGAACAGGGAUAGGAUGUGUUCUUAUGCAAGAAGGUAGGGUUAUUGCUUACGCUUCUCGACAGUUGAAGCGACAUGAAGAGCAUUACCCUACCCAUGAUUUGGAGCUUGCUGUUGUGGUUCAUGCAUUAAAGAUAUGGCGGCACUACCUUCUAGGUAGUGACUGUCGUAUUUUUAUAGACCACAAGAGCUUAAAGUAUAUUUUCACUCAAAUGGACUUAAAUAUGAGGCAGAGACAGUGGUUGGAGGUAAUUAAAGAUUAUAAGUUAGAAAUUCAUUACCAUUCGGGUAAGGCUAAUGUGGUGGCUGAUGCUUUGAGCAGGAAGGCUCAAUGCCACUGCACCAAUAUUCAAUCUAGCCUUAAGACCUUGUGCGAAGAGCUAGAAGACUUAAGUUUGGAAAUAGUAACAUAAGGAACUCUCCAGAACAUUAUCUUGCAAGACACCUUGAAAGAAAGAAUUAUAACAGCCCAGAAAGAGGAUCUAUGGGUAAAGAUGCUUCAUAAACAGAAAGUGGAGGGCAAAAUUUCUGAGUUCACUCAACACAAGGAUGGAGGAUUGUAUUUCAAGAAUAGGAUUGUAGUGCCCAAGGAUGUGAAAUUGAGAAAGAUGAUUUUGGAUGAAGCACACCUGUCUAAGUUCGCCAUUCACCCCGGAAGUAACAAAAUGUAUCAAGAUUUGAAGCAUAGAUUCUGGUGGGCCAUGAUGAAACCAGAAAUUGCAAGAUAUGUGGCCGAAUGCGAUACCUGUCGAAGAAUUAAACCGAUCCUUCAAAAAUAUGCUGGUUUGCUUCAGCCUUUGGCAAUUCCUGUUUGGAAAUGGGAAGACAUUUCCAUAGACUUCAUAGUCGGGUUGCCUACUACUUCAAAAGGGCAUGAUUCCAUAUGGGUUAUUGUUGAUCGACUUACUAAGUCACCCCAUUUUAUUCCCGUCAAAACCACAUAUCCCGUAUCAACCUAUGCAAAGAUAUAUAUGACCCGGAUUGUAUCCCUGCAUGGGGUACCUAAGACAAUUAUUUCUGAUCGAGGCUCUCAAUUUGUUUCCAGGUUCUGGGAACAACUGCAUAAAGUUAUGGGAACUACUUUGAUUAGAAGCUCGGCCUAUCAUCCUCAAACAGGGGGACAAAUAGAAAGAGUCAACCAAAUCUUGGAAGACAUGCUAAGAGCUUGUGUCCUUACCUUCUCAAAGCUAUGGGACGAAUGCUUGCCCCUAGCUGAGUUCUCCUAUAAUAAUAGCUACCAAGCUAGUAUUAAGAUGGCACCUUUUGAAGCUUUGUAUGGUCGAAGGUGCCGAACACCUUUGAAUUGGUCAAAAGAAGGAGAGAUGACACAUUUGGGGUCGGAUUUGGUUAUGAAAACUGAAGAAAAGGUCCGAAAAAUUCGUAAACAUCUUGAAAUAGCCCAGUCCCGACAAAAGAGUUACUCGGAUAAAAGGAGACGAUCUUUAGAAUUUCAUGUUGGGGACUUCGUGUAUCUGAAGGUAUCUUCGAUGAAGGGAGUGCAACGUUUUGGAGUAGAAGGUAAAUUAGCUCCAAGAUAUAUUAGUCCUUACAAGAUUCUAGAACGAAAAGGUCCAGUGGCAUACAAGCUUUCACUGCCAGACCAACUUGCCCUAUACAUGAUGUAUUUCAUGUAUCCUAGCUUAAGAAAUGCCUGAGAGUUCCAAAAGAAAUUUUAGAAGAUCCGGAAGUUGAGUUAGAACCAGACCUAACUUAUGAGGAGAAACCUAUUAAAAUUCUAGAUCAAAAGACAAGAGAUACGCGAACCAAAAGUAUCAAGUUUUACACGGUACAAUGGAAAAAUCAUACUCUAGAUGAGGCUACUUGGGAACAGGCCGAAGAAUUAGAAUCCAAGUAUCCCAAGUUGUUUGAAACCAUUGAAAUCAGAUAAAUAGUCAUUACUGAACAACCACCCCACUUUCUUUAUGCAGAAUAAAGAAAGAUGUUUUACCUGACGCGGUUUCCUUUCCAUUCUCCAAACUGAGGGUUUAACGUUUGGAAUCUCGGGACGAGAUUCUAUUAAGGGGGAGAGGCUGUAACACCUCAUGUUAAGGACAGCCUAAAGGUGUCAAUGAGAAGUUAAUGAUGACUUUUGGAGCAAAAAGAGGGUAAUUGACUCAAAGUCAAAUUCAAGCCGAAUUUGACCAAAAUUGCAAUUUGAAAUUUUAAAUUCCGAAAAAUUUAGCAAAAAUAUGAAGUUGAGGCUGAGGAUGUUUAGAACUCAAAGGAAUGAAGUUGGAGACUAAAUCAAGUCUUAAACUCCUCAAGAAUGCAGCUUAAAAAGGAAAUCAAUCAAGUUACUAUUCCCCAUCCGAAAAUAUGCAAUUCAGAAAAACAUAACAAGUACCCGACUUUGGAAUUGAUUUCUGCCUGAUUUUCCAAGUAAGUGGGCAAAGGUGUCUGAUUAGUAAUGAAGUAUGACAUUUAAUUAAGCCUAGUAGGAUGUUGUUGACCAUAGAAAGUGGAGGGAUCAAAUUUAAAAUAGGACUCAAAGUCAGCACUCUGGCAGUUUUCAGCCUAGUUACUGAAACUGAAUUUUUCCUAAGUCUGAAACAGCAGUGAUUGACUAUGUUUGGAGCAAAUUUUAGAGAAAUGUAGUGCAAAAGGUAUAUGAGUUCAUGUGCAAAAUGGAAUCCUUGUUAGUUGUACAGCAUGAAUGGUUGAUGGUUGAACUAUAUGGAGUAAUAUUAAGCUACUCAAAUCGAGUCAAAAGAAGGGUAAAUGACCCUGAACAGUGAACUGUCGAACUGAAUCAAGGGAUUCAGAACAAUUCAGUUCUGCCCGAGAUGGAGACUCAAAAAUUGCGGCUCUAGGAUGUUUAUCUCGGGUAAAGGUUAAUAUAUCAAUUGAAGUACUCGAGUUUAUCUACAAGUUUGCUUAUAGGACUCCCGGACCGUAAGAUUCAAAAUCAACCGUUUUGAAGGUCUGAAUUUUCGGAGUAAAAGAAGGGGAGGGGAAAACAGCAAAGGCAGAGAUGUGUCCCUGCCGGUGCUUUCGCCGGUCGUCUGGUGCGAUGCAUAGGGACACCUCCUCACCCACGCAAGCCUACAGCUAGGCCAUGGUGGCACUCAUGCAAGCAGUGAAAAAUUCAUAUAAUUAUUGUGCCCGCCGUCGCUCCUAUACGUUUACCGCGUUGCUUAUUUACCGCCGCAAGAAGAGCAUGGCCGAGCCCCUGCCGCCGGCCGAUUUCCACCAUUUCACUGCCUCCCACUUCAAUUCCUUCCACCCAAAUCCCCACCAACACCUCGCCAACAACUGUGCCUACUCGUUUUCCAACUUCCCCGCCGGCGAGCUCUUAGCUGCCGCUAUUUCCGUCCACCGCCGCCAAACUUCUUGCUCACGAUGAGCACUUCCUUGCCACCUCUCUCUCUUCGUGUGAUAGGUCCUAGGUAGGUCUGUAGGUCCCUAGGGAACCUUAGGAGGAGUCAAGCGUCGUGUUGGUGGUGUUGUCGUGCUGGUCCACGGGCGGCUUCUGGUCAAGCCGCCCGCCGCCAUGGAGAGGCCAGCUCCGGCCGUCUCCCAGGGGGCCGCCGCCGCCCACGGGUGCGCCGUGGCCUGGGGAUGCCUCCCCGGCCCGACCCCGUUGCUGGCGGGACGCCGGCCGUCGAGCCGCGCCGCCCCCUUUUGCGCCCUGCUUUUGGCGCGGGGAAGAAGAAGUCCUCGCGCUUGGGGCCCAUGUGCUAGGGAGAGAGGAGGGGAAGAGAAGGUGGGCCGGCGGGUAGAAUAGGAAGGGGGAGUAGAGUCGGUCCAGUAGGGCCCAGCGCGAGAGAGAGAGGGUAGAGAGGAUUAGAGUGAGAAAAGUUGGGCCGGGGGUAUUUGGAUAAUCUUAGGUUUUUCCUUUUAUAGAUAAAUAGUGUAAAUUUGGUUUUCACCAUUUAAAUCACAUGAAAUUAUAGAAGUGUCCAAAAUUAGUGAAACCAAUUUUGUUAGGAUUGUUUUAUUUUCCUUUAUGCAUUAAAAUUCUUACACCUUAGGAAAAAUAAUAAAAUUUAGGUAUUUAUUUGAUGCCUUUUCAUUAAGGUAUUUAAAUAAAUACUUAACCUUUAUUAAAU
Molecule: long non-coding RNA, 10690 nt
Filed under: Setaria viridis
Lineage: Eukaryota; Viridiplantae; Streptophyta; Magnoliopsida; Poales; Poaceae
Description: long non-coding RNA (SVIR_LNC009639)
Source: RNAcentral